RNAcentral lists this ribosomal RNA (402 nucleotides) under uncultured bacterium. RNAcentral's name for it is "bacterial SSU rRNA". It matches the Rfam family "Bacterial small subunit ribosomal RNA", at positions 355 to 774 of the family's 1533-position model. The record is from RNAcentral.
UGGGGAAUCUUGCACAAUGGAGGAAACUCUGAUGCAGCGACGCCGCGUGAGCGAAGAAGCCUUUCGGGGUGUAAAGCUCUUACGCCAGGGACGAUAAUGACGGUACCUGGAGAAGCAGCUGCGGCUAACUACGUGCCAGCAGCCGCGGUAAUACGUAGGCAGCAAGCGUUGUUCGGAAUUACUGGGCGUAAAGGGUGCGUAGGCGGCGCUCUAAGUUUGGUGUGAAAUCUCCCGGCUUAACUGGGAGGGUGCACUGAAAACUGGGGCGCUCGAGUAUGGGAGAGGAAAGCGGAAUUCCUGGUGUAGCGGUAAAAUGCGUAGAGAUCAGGAGGAACACCUGCGGUGCAGACGGCUUUCUGGACCAUCACUGACGCUGAGGCACGAAAGCGUGGGUAGCAAACA